GCCGGGUGUGGUGGCUCACACCUGUAAUCCCAGCACUUUGGGAGGCCGAGACAGGUGGAUCACCUGAGGUCAGGAGUUGGAGACCAGCCUGGCCAACAUGGUGAAACCCCGUCUCUA
Gorilla gorilla gorilla (western lowland gorilla) is the source of this 117-nucleotide non-coding RNA. It matches the Rfam family "Metazoan signal recognition particle RNA". Rfam says of the family: The signal recognition particle (SRP) is a universally conserved ribonucleoprotein. It is involved in the co-translational targeting of proteins to membranes. Lineage: Eukaryota; Metazoa; Chordata; Mammalia; Primates; Hominidae. The record is from Rfam.